AUAGAAUUUUAUUUUUUAGUUAAAAAGCUAAAAUUUAAUUAAAAGACGAGAAGACCCUAUAAAUCUUUAUAUUUUUUUAUUUUAAUUUUAAAGAUUAUUUUAAUUUUAAUAAAUUAAAAUAUUUUAUUGGGGUGAUAUUAAAAUUUAAAAACUUUUAAUUUAUAAAACCAUUAAUUUAUGAAUAAUUGAUCCAUUAAUGAUGAUUAAAAAUUUAAGUUACUUUAGGGAUAACAGCGUAAUUUUUUUGGAGAGUUCAUAUCGAUAAAAAAGAUUGCGACCUCGAUGUUGGAUUAAGAUAUAAUUUUGGGUGUAGCUGUUCAAAUUUUAAGUCUGUUCGACUUUUAAAUUCUUACAUGAUCUGAGUUCAAACCGGCGUAAGCCAGGUUGGUUUCUAUCUUUAAUAAAUUGUAAUAUUUUAGUACGAAAGGACCAAAUAUUAAAAUAAUUAUAUUUUUUAAAAGAAUAUUAUUAAUAAUAA
This 478-nucleotide ribosomal RNA is filed under the name Drosophila mediodiffusa. RNAcentral's name for it is "partial 16S ribosomal RNA". The stretch from base 227 to 386 matches the Rfam family "Bacterial large subunit ribosomal RNA", at positions 2473 to 2632 of the family's 2925-position model. The record is from RNAcentral. Lineage: Eukaryota; Metazoa; Arthropoda; Insecta; Diptera; Drosophilidae.